Molecule: small nuclear RNA, 141 nt
Filed under: Mesocricetus auratus (golden hamster)
Lineage: Eukaryota; Metazoa; Chordata; Mammalia; Rodentia; Cricetidae
Description: 7SK RNA
Rfam family: 7SK RNA
About the family: 7SK was discovered as an abundant small nuclear RNA in the mid-70s but a possible function has only recently been suggested.
Source: Rfam by way of RNAcentral
GGAUAUGAGGGCGAUCUGGCUGUGGCACCUGUCAUCCCAUUGAUCGCCAGGGUUGAUUUGGUUGCUCUGGUUGGCAAGGCAGCUGUCCCCUUCCUCCCUCACUGCUGCGUGUGGAUCUCUCCUGAAGCUGUGUGCUUGGUA